AAUAUUGCGCAAUGGACGGAAGUCUGACGCAGCGACGCCGCGUGAGCGAUGAAGGCCUUCGGGUCGUAAAGCUCUUCCUUUGGGGAAGAAGGUCUUCGGACUUGACGGUACCCAAGAAGAAAGCCCCGGCUAACUACGUUCCAGCAGCCGCGGUAAUACGUAGGGGGCAAGCGUUGUCCGGAAUUAUUGGGCGUAAAGGGUGCGUAGGCGGCCUUUUAAGUCAGAUGUGAAAGCCCACGGCUUAACCGUGGGACUGCAUUUGAAACUGGAGGGCUUGAGUAUCGGAGAGGGUAGUGGAAUUCCCAGUGUAGCGGUGGAAUGCGUAGAUAUUGGGAGGAACACCAGUGGCGAAGGCGACUACCUGGACGAAAACUGACGCUGAGGCACGAAAGCUAGGGGAGCAAAC
This 406-nucleotide ribosomal RNA is filed under the name uncultured bacterium. RNAcentral describes it as "partial 16S ribosomal RNA". It matches the Rfam family "Bacterial small subunit ribosomal RNA", at positions 360 to 773 of the family's 1533-position model. The record is from RNAcentral.